GGGGCUAUGGUACGUACAGGUGGGAUAAAACAAGAAAAAGGGGAUCAAAGAGGCUCAAUAUAUGAUUGAAAACAUGCAACACACCAGACCUUCCAUCAAUAAAACUCUAGAGUAACUCCUCAACAUAUCCACAAUCCUCUAAACGUAUGCAUUUUAUUAUAGAACUCUAUUUUUCUUUUCUUUUUUUUUUUUUUUAUUUUUUUAUUUUUUUGUUUUCUAAUUUUUUUUUUUUUUAACAGCAUAUAUAUCCCAUAGAAUCAAUGAACUAUCUCUCAACACACUAAAAUUAUAGGAGUACUCAUCUUCUCAUCUCG
Molecule: long non-coding RNA, 314 nt
Filed under: Salvia miltiorrhiza (redroot sage)
Lineage: Eukaryota; Viridiplantae; Streptophyta; Magnoliopsida; Lamiales; Lamiaceae
Description: long non-coding RNA (SMIL_LNC013802)
Source: RNAcentral